This 76-nucleotide transfer RNA is filed under the name mine drainage metagenome. Its description in RNAcentral is "tRNA-Asp". It matches the Rfam family "tRNA". Rfam says of the family: Transfer RNA (tRNA) molecules are approximately 80 nucleotides in length. Their secondary structure includes four short double-helical elements and three loops (D, anti-codon, and T loops). The record is from RNAcentral.
GGAGGCGUGGUGUAGUGGUUAACAUACGUGCCUGUCACGCACGAGACCGCGGGUUCGAUCCCCGUCGCCUCCGCCA